Molecule: long non-coding RNA, 2146 nt
Filed under: Homo sapiens (human)
Lineage: Eukaryota; Metazoa; Chordata; Mammalia; Primates; Hominidae
Description: HSALNT0132546
Source: RNAcentral
GGAGGAGCAGCUGCUGAGCCUGGAGCUCCCGCCAGCCCCUGGGUGAAAGAGGCACAUUCUCUCCUUUCAUGUCUGAGAUGUCUCCAUCUUGAGCAUGGCACUCCAAGCUGAAGUCAUCAAUGGAAGGCAUGAUGUACUGGAUCUGCACAGGGGACUGCAGGCCAUCUUGUGACCUCAGGAUAUGCCAGGAACAAUCACAAGGACUGUGUUCUCCACGGACUAUGAUGAGCUCCUCAUUGCUGGAAUCCUGCUGCUCCCGUGAAAAGAUGGCCGUCAGUAUUCUCCAAAAAGGCUGCAAAUGAUGCUGAUGCGGAGGGAGUUGCCAGGAGCUUCACCCUCUACAAGUUUAAAAUACACUCCCUCCCAGAAUUGACUCUCGUGCUGACCCACCUAAAUGUACAUCCACUGGAUGUCUCUUGAGCCUGAAGAGUGUGCAGCACUGUCCAAUCUUUGCCAUACAAGGACAUACGAACUUACCUGGGGAGGUUUCUGGGACGGGCAUGAAUUCUGGUGUGGAGCUCCUGGAAUUGAGGGUGUUUUGCAAUCUUUGCCAUGCAAUGACAUAAUAACUUACCUGGGGAGGUUCCAGGGACUGGCCUGAAUUCAGUGUGGAGCUCCUGGAAUUGAGGGUGUUUUUGCACCUGCAGAGAGAUCACAGUGAGGGAGGUUAAGGCUCUUCCAGCAAGAGUCUCUUGGAUUUCAGAAUAUGACCUUCAGAAAUCCACAACCCAGCACAGGCCAGCCUCAGGACACCAGCCCCCAUCAAUCAAGCAUGACUUUCCACUCAUCCUGCAGAAAGCACCCUCUCCUUUUAUAAGAUUGUGAGACAUGACACUGACCUCCAGGCAGGGAGAUCUUAAGAAAUAUCAGGGAAAUUGCCUUACCUAUACUGGUACCCUGCUCCACUUGGUGACGUUUGGGUGGAUUCAUUUGCGUGGUAGCCAAGCUGCAGGACAGAAAGGGAUCCGUUAGUCUUCCACACAGAGUCUAAUUCUCACAAGCCCAAAACUCCAUUUAUCAUCCAGCACACAUUCUUUCUGUGUCCCUCAGUCAAGUGCACUUGUGUUGGGCUCCAAAUCCUACCUGCAUCCAGUAAGUCCUAAUGCUCAUCUCCCCUCCUCAACUUUUCUAAUGGCUUUUCCUAUCGGUGAAUGUGUGUGAUAAGGGAUGGUGACCACAGGAAACAGUUUGCUUUCUCAGGAGCUCAUCCAUCUGAGAAGGGACAUCUAAUUUGGUCUGAGGAUUUUCAGGGAAGACGUUGUUAUUUCAGGUAUCUGAGCACCGUGUCUGUGCAGUUACAGUGUGAAUGGAGUGAGAGAUGAUGGGAAAUGUUUCAUUUUCUAAUGAGCACAGGGAAGAAAUUUAGAUCAUGCCCACAGUUUACCUGUCUCCGCACAAGAGGUGACUUUCAUUUAGAGAGGGAACAUAGAUCGACAGUGGGAGGAAACCUGAGAUGAGCCCCCUGACAGGUCCAGAAACCCCCCAUGCUGGCAGGAUCCUAUGGCCUCCACUGUGGGUCUCAUGUCUCCGGCAGGUGUUCUAAAUUUAUAACGUUCAAUGUCAUGGCAGGCCAGGGUGCUUUCUCUGCCCUAGUUUGACCCUUUAUCACACAUUCACACCACACACACACACAAAUGCACACAGUCACACAUAGUCACAUGGCAACCUCCUGGCAACCCAAGGUAAACACACACUAACAUACCUGCUCUCUCCUUCAUUGUCAUUCUGCGAUUCUGUCCAGGAAUCACUAAGGCUUCUUUGGCGCCAGUAACCAUACAUGGUAAAGGUUCUCUAGACUCACUUGUAUCAGAAAAUUUCAAUCUUCAUCUUAUUUUCUUAUAAAUCUAUACAGUCUAUGACUUGAUCUUUUACUUUUCCUGAAGAAGAUGAUCAGCUCGGCACAUCCAGAACAUGGAAUAGUGUGCCCUGGCCUGGGACAGGUUGAAUGACGCUAUGGUAGAAUGAAAUCUUGGGCAAAUCCCAAAAGUUUUAUAAUAGAGAGAGCUGUGGGAUUUAUCAAAAUGGAUGAACACGAUUGGCUAGUGCUGCUGAUUAAGUAGUAGGACCUGCAUGGGAGUGCUUUUAUCAAAACUCAAGUGAUAUGGGUGUGCCCCUGUUAGAAUUAGCCUAAUCUAAUCAAAAUCAG